Neopestalotiopsis sp. 37M is the source of this 108-nucleotide non-coding RNA. The record is from the annotation of a GenBank genome assembly. Lineage: Eukaryota; Fungi; Ascomycota; Sordariomycetes; Amphisphaeriales; Sporocadaceae.
GGCCUGGUGGCGAAAUGGUAUCGCGUCAGAUUUCGGCUAGAGUUUAGAACCUCUAAUAAACCGUUAUCCAUUCUCUGAAGAUUGCGGGUUCGAAUCCCGUCUGGGUCG